Molecule: ribosomal RNA, 232 nt
Filed under: uncultured eukaryote
Lineage: Eukaryota
Description: partial 18S ribosomal RNA
Rfam family: Eukaryotic small subunit ribosomal RNA
Source: RNAcentral
CGUAGUUGGAUUUCUGAUUGAUAUUUUUGGUCCGGUACCUUCGGGUACAUGAGUAUCAUUUUAUAUCUGUCAUCCUAUCAGGGUUUCUUGGUUUCGGCCUAGGAGUUCUGGUUCAUUUACUUUGAAAAAAUUAGAGUGUUUAAAGCAAGCUUGCGCGAUGAAUACAUUAGCAUGGAAUAAUAAUAUAGGACUACGGGUUCUAUUUUGUUGGUUUCUAGACCUGAAGUAAUGA